RNAcentral lists this ribosomal RNA (437 nucleotides) under uncultured bacterium. RNAcentral's name for it is "partial 16S ribosomal RNA". It matches the Rfam family "Bacterial small subunit ribosomal RNA", at positions 29 to 507 of the family's 1533-position model. The record is from RNAcentral.
AGCGAACGCUGGCGGCAGGCUUAACACAUGCAAGUCGAGCGGGCACCUUUCGGGGUGUCAGCGGCGGACGGGUGAGUAACGCGUGGGAACGUGCCCUCUGGUUCGGAAUAGCUCAGGGAAACUUGAGCUAAUACCGGAUACGCCCUUUUGGGGAAAGGCUUGCUGCCGGAGGAUCGGCCCGCGUCUGAUUAGCUAGUUGGUGAGGUAACGGCUCACCAAGGCGACGAUCAGUAGCUGGUCUGAGAGGAUGAUCAGCCACACUGGGACUGAGACACGGCCCAGACUCCUACGGGAGGCAGCAGUGGGGAAUAUUGGACAAUGGGCGCAAGCCUGAUCCAGCCAUGCCGCGUGAGUGAUGAAGGCCUUAGGGUUGUAAAGCUCUUUUAUCCGGGACGAUAAUGACGGUACCGGAGGAAUAAGCCCCGGCUAACUUCGUG